ACUGCUCAGUAACACGUGGAUAACCUGCCCAAGGGUCUGGGAUGACCCCGGGAAACUGGGGAUAAUACCGGAUGGAUCACUAGUGCUGGAAUGCUUGGUGGUCGAAAGGUAACGCCUUUGGAUGGGUCUGCGGCGGAUUAGGUUGACGCCGGUGUAACGUACCGGCGUGCCUGUAAUCCGUACGGGUUGUGGGAGCAAGAGCCCGGAGAUGGAUUCUGAGACACGAAUCCAGGCCCUACGGGGCGCAGCAGGCGCGAAAACUCUACAAUGCAGGCAACUGCGAUAGGGGGACAUCGAGUGGCAUCCACCUUGGGUGCCUGUCCAACCGUCUAAAAAACGGUUGUUAGCAAGGGCCGGGUAAGACCGGUGCCAGCCGCCGCGGUAAUACCGGCGGCUCGAGUGGUGGCCGAUAUUAUUGAGUCUAAAGGGUCCGUAGCCGGCUUUGCAAGUCCCCUGGGAAAUCCAGCGGCUUAACCGUUGGGCUUUCAUGGGAUACUACAUUGCUUGGGACUGGGAGAGGUAGGAGGUACUCGGGGGGUAGGGGUGAAAUCCUGUAAUCCUCCGGGGACCACCGGUGGCGAAGGCGUCCUACCAGAACAGGUCCGACGGUGAGGGACGAAAGCUAGGGGCACGAACCGGAUUAGAUACCCGGGUAGUCCUAGCCGUAAACGAUGCCCGCUAGGUGUCACGACGGUCGUGAAUCGUCGUGGUGCCGUAGGGAAGCCGCGAAGCGGGCCACUUGGGAAGUACGGCCGCAAGGCUGAACUUAAGGAAUUGGCGGGGGAGCAC
Molecule: ribosomal RNA, 789 nt
Filed under: uncultured archaeon
Lineage: Archaea
Description: bacterial SSU rRNA
Rfam family: Archaeal small subunit ribosomal RNA
Source: RNAcentral